Long non-coding RNA from Beta vulgaris subsp. vulgaris (sugar beet), 812 nucleotides. RefSeq lists it as uncharacterized. The transcript is spliced from 3 exons. The record is from RefSeq and is a predicted model, not a curated record. Lineage: Eukaryota; Viridiplantae; Streptophyta; Magnoliopsida; Caryophyllales; Amaranthaceae.
UACUUUUUCCUCACAAACUCAUUAAACCCACUGAAAUCCACUAAAAAACAGUGGUUAAGCUUCUUGUUUUUCUUGAAAAUCCAUGGAUGCUCAUGGUUUGGUGAAUUUUUAAAUUCUGAAAUUCAUCUUGUCAGAUAGCAAUUCCUCUAUAAAUAGGGAGAUUGAGUUUGAAAUUUUUCUCACAAAUCAACAACAAUUCAUAAAAAUUAAAUCAACUAAAAGAAAGUGAAAACAGAAUUACAACUCCUCUGUUCUUCUAUUUUCGGCCACCACCACAACCACCACACAGCCACCACCUCCCCACUUUCCGACCACCUUUGGCGAACCCACACCCAGCCGACCAACCGCCGACCGUCGCCCUCCUCUCUCGCCGCACCUUCGUCUCCUUCGAUCCCCCCCCCCCCCCCUGCACACUCGUCUCUCUCUCUCUCCUCCGCGACACCACCGCACAUCAGCCCCUGACCUUUCUGCCCGUCACUAUUGCCUCACCCGUCGCCGUCGCCGCCGCGAACUGACGCCACCAGCAGGCCUCCGUCGCUGACCCACAUUCUUUCUCUCGCUCCUGCGUGUGUGUGUCUGGUGUAUAACUCGUUCCUCGGAGCUCAGUAAGGACGAUAUCACAGACAUAAGAAGAGGAUUAUUAUUAUCAUUCUGCAAUCAAGGUACUGCUAGGGACGAUGGUACUGCGUAGUGGCAAGGAUUACCACCUUAUUAAAUCAUCUAGUAAUAGUGCUACUAUCUUGUAAGGUUAAUUUAACUAGAAUGUAAGACCAUAUGCUUUAAUAUAAGUUAUCGUUGUUAUGUCUAGUAAC